RNAcentral lists this ribosomal RNA (253 nucleotides) under Cronartium flaccidum. RNAcentral's name for it is "5.8S ribosomal RNA". The stretch from base 73 to 226 matches the Rfam family "5.8S ribosomal RNA". Rfam says of the family: 5.8S ribosomal RNA (5.8S rRNA) is a component of the large subunit of the eukaryotic ribosome. Lineage: Eukaryota; Fungi; Basidiomycota; Pucciniomycetes; Pucciniales; Coleosporiaceae. The record is from RNAcentral.
UGACCCUUUUUUAAUUAAUUACUCUUUAUAAAAAUGUUCUUAAGAAUGUAAAAAAAAACCCCUUAUAAAAAUAACUUUUAACAAUGGAUCUCUUGGCUCUCACAUCGAUGAAGAACACAGUGAAAUGUGAUAAGUAAUGUGAAUUGCAGAAUUCAGUGAAUCAUCAAAUCUUUGAACGCACCUUGCACCUUUUGGUAUUCCAAAAGGUACACCUGUUUGAGUGUCAUGAAACCCUCUCAUUCCAAUUCUUAUA